This 355-nucleotide ribosomal RNA is filed under the name Aestuariivirgaceae bacterium. Its description in RNAcentral is "partial 23S ribosomal RNA". It matches the Rfam family "Bacterial large subunit ribosomal RNA", at positions 2559 to 2925 of the family's 2925-position model. Lineage: Bacteria; Pseudomonadati; Pseudomonadota; Alphaproteobacteria; Hyphomicrobiales; Aestuariivirgaceae. The record is from RNAcentral.
CAGGUCCCAAGGGUUCGGCUGUUCGCCGAUUAAAGUGGUACGUGAGCUGGGUUCAAAACGUCGUGAGACAGUUUGGUCCCUAUCUGCCGUGGUUGUAGGAGAAUUGAGAGGAUUUGUCCUUAGUACGAGAGGACCGGGAUGAACGCACCUCUGGUGGACCUGUUAUCGCGCCAGCGGUACAGCAGGGUAGCUAUGUGCGGUCGGGAUAACCGCUGAAGGCAUCUAAGCGGGAAACCCACCUCAAAACAAGUUCUCCCUUGAGAGCCGUCGAAGACUACGACGUUGAUAGGCCGGGUAUGGAAGUGCAGCAAUGUGCGAAGUUUACCGGUACUAAUCGCUCGAACGGCUUGAUCGU